Molecule: ribosomal RNA, 446 nt
Filed under: uncultured Sphingomonas sp.
Lineage: Bacteria; Pseudomonadati; Pseudomonadota; Alphaproteobacteria; Sphingomonadales; Sphingomonadaceae
Description: bacterial SSU rRNA
Rfam family: Bacterial small subunit ribosomal RNA
Source: RNAcentral
AGAGUUUGAUCCUGGCUCAGAAUGAACGCUGGCGGCAUGCCUAACACAUGCAAGUCGAACGAGACCUUCGGGUCUAGUGGCGCACGGGUGCGUAACGCGUGGGAAUCUACCCUUGGGUUCGGAAUAACUCAGAGAAAUUUGAGCUAAUACCGGAUGAUGACGUAAGUCCAAAGAUUUAUCGCCCAAGGAUGAGCCCGCGUAGGAUUAGCUUGUUGGUGAGGUAAAAGCUCACCAAGGCGACGAUCCUUAGCUGGUCUGAGAGGAUGAUCAGCCACACUGGGACUGAGACACGGCCCAGACUCCUACGGGAGGCAGCAGUGGGGAAUAUUGGACAAUGGGCGAAAGCCUGAUCCAGCAAUGCCGCGUGAGUGAUGAAGGCCUUAGGGUUGUAAAGCUCUUUUACCCGGGAAGAUAAUGACUGUACCGGAGAAUAGCCCGAUCCCGUC